RNAcentral lists this unclassified non-coding RNA (200 nucleotides) under soil metagenome. RNAcentral's name for it is "partial contains internal transcribed spacer 2 and large subunit ribosomal RNA". The record is from RNAcentral.
UCAUUUACACCCCUCAAGCUAAGCUUGGUAUUGGGAGGCUGCCCCCUGGGGCACUCCCGAAAUGAAUCGGCGACGUGGGAUGAUCCCCUAGCGAAGUGACUUACAAAUCGCGCUACAUGAGAUCUUGCCCCCGUUGGCCGCGAAACCAACCAAUUCUAACGAUUGACCUCGGAUCAGGUAGGGAUACCCGCUGAACUUAA